Non-coding RNA from Oryza glaberrima (African rice), 191 nucleotides. NCBI's taxonomy places the organism in Eukaryota, Viridiplantae, Streptophyta, Magnoliopsida, Poales, Poaceae. The record is from Rfam.
AAAAAUUCAAUUUCUGGGUUUCCGUGUCUAACGUUUGACCGUUUAUCUUAUUUAAAAAAAUUAUGAAAAAAUUUAAAAAGAUAAGUCAUGCAUAAAGUAUUGUUCAUGUUUUAUCAUCUAAUGAUAAUGAAAAUACUAAUCAUAAAAAAAAUUCAUAUAAAACGGACGGUCAAACGUUGAACACGAAAACC